RNAcentral lists this long non-coding RNA (1003 nucleotides) under Heterocephalus glaber (naked mole-rat). Its description in RNAcentral is "lncRNA (ENSHGLG00100040634.1)". Lineage: Eukaryota; Metazoa; Chordata; Mammalia; Rodentia; Bathyergidae. The record is from RNAcentral.
UGCUUUAUACUUCAAAAGUGCUUGAUGUUUUAACUAUUAUAAUAGUUAAGCUCACUGCUCCUACUGAAAUACUUAUGUCACUGAUCUUCUCUUUUGGGUGUUCAACAACUAAAGUUUGGAGACCAAAUCUAGAAAGGUAACUGGGCUAUGAGGACAGCCAAUAUUUUGGCCCUGGUCCCUCAAGAUCAACAAAUAUCCAGGAUCCUACAUCUUUGCUAAGUUACUCAACCUCCUGAGCAGGGGGAUUGCUGGGCACCAGAGGACAAAGGUACCGUGUUUCAAAGGAGGGUCACAAAGAGGAAAAAAUCUCCCACACUUUCACUGAAAGCAACAUGGUCAAGCAAGGCCAUGACCCAUCCUGAGGGCUGACAGACGGAGGAGCUAAGAGGCUCUAUGCAUGGUUCCAAGUAAUGCCUGAGGAGACUUAACUGACCUUGAUAGAUAGCAAGAGGUUCAUCCUGAUUGGCACAGGUCUCCCUUUAACUUGGUUUUAAACACCCAGAAAAGAAUAACCAAAAGAGGUAUAAAUAAUGCCAUAGUAAUAAAGCUAGAUGUAAAAAGGGCUCCAGUCACUGACCCCUUCUGGCAGUUUCUAGCUACACCAGUAGCUGACCAGUUAUGGAUCAUUAGGAAAAAUCUAUGGUAGAAUCUAGCCACCAGGUUACAAUCACUAUUUCAAUUUCCCAACCUGCCCUUCGAUUCUAAUGUGCUCAUGCUUAGAUUAUACAUGCUCUGAUUUCUUAAAAGUUUUUUUAUUCUUGCCUAGAGACUGCCAGACUCCACGCAGUCAUACAAAUGGAACCAAUGACAAAUGUGCUAGACUUCUUUCACUGGGAUCCACCAGAUUGACCUGACUCAAAGCUAUACAGCUACCAAGAUGACAAUGCCUGGCACCCAUCGAAGGCCUUUAGAUAGACUCUCUGUAGAGUAACUCUAACUACUGAUCACAACUACAACCCUCUCCAGCCGGAAUUAGCCAGACCUGUCUUCGCCCUUUGCCCCC